RNAcentral lists this non-coding RNA (88 nucleotides) under unclassified sequences. The record is from RNAcentral.
AUAAGUCUGCCACCGGGUAGAGUAAAUCGAGGCACUCGUUACACAUCGUUAGGUCUUAGAAGAUGUGUAGUCGUGUGCUUAUUUUUAA